GACGAACGCUGGCGGCGUGCUUAACACAUGCAAGUCGAACGGAAAGGCCCUGCUUUUGUGGGGUGCUCGAGUGGCGAACGGGUGAGUAACACGUGAGUAACCUGCCCUUGACCUUGGGAUAACUUCAGGAAACUAGGGCUAAUACCGGAUAGGAGCUCCUGCUGCAUGGUGGGGGUUGGAAAGUUUCGGCGGUUGGGGAUGGACUCGCGGCUUAUCAGCUUGUUGGUGGGGUAGUGGCUUACCAAGGCUUUGACGGGUAGCCGGCCUGAGAGGGUGACCGGCCACAUUGGGACUGAGAUACGGCCCAGACUCCUACGGGAGGCAGCAGUGGGGAAUAUUGCACAAUGGGCGGAAGCCUGAUGCAGCAACGCCGCGUGCGGGAUGACGGCCUUCGGGUUGUAAACCGCUUUCGCCUGUGACGAAGCGUGAGUGACGGUAAUGGGUAAAGAAGCACCGGCUAACUACGUGCCAGCAGCCGCGGUGAUACGUAGGGUGCGAGCGUUGUCCGGAUUUAUUGGGCGUAAAGGGCUCGUAGGUGGUUGAUCGCGUCGGAAGUGUAAUCUUGGGGCUUAACCCUGAGCGUGCUUUCGAUACGGGUUGACUUGAGGAAGGUAGGGGAGAAUGGAAUUCCUGGUGGAGCGGUGGAAUGCGCAGAUAUCAGGAGGAACACCAGUGGCGAAGGCGGUUCUCUGGGCCUUUCCUGACGCUGAGGAGCGAAAGCGUGGGGAGCGAACAGGCUUAGAUACCCUGGUAGUCCACGCUGUAAACGGUGGGUACUAGGUGUGGGGUCCAUUCCACGGGUUCCGUGCCGUAGCUAACGCUUUAAGUACCCCGCCUGGGGAGUACGGCCGCAAGGCUAAAACUCAAAGGAAUUGACGGGGCCCCGCACAAGCGGCGGAGCAUGCGGAUUAAUUCGAUGCAACGCGUAGAACCUUACCUGGGUUUGACAUGGAUCGGGAGCGCUCAGAGAUGGGUGUGCCUCUUUUGGGGUCGGUUCACAGGUGGUGCAUGGCUGUCGUCAGCUCGUGUCGUGAGAUGUUGGGUUAAGUCCCGCAACGAGCGCAACCCUUGUUCACUGUUGCCAGCACGUUAUGGUGGGGACUCAGUGGAGACCGCCGGGGUCAACUCGGAGGAAGGUGGGGAUGACGUCAAGUCAUCAUGCCCCUUAUGUCCAGGGCUUCACGCAUGCUACAAUGGCUGGUACAGAGAGUGGCGAGCCUGUGAGGGUGAGCGAAUCUCGGAAAGCCGGUCUCAGUUCGGAUUGGGGUCUGCAACUCGACCUCAUGAAGUCGGAGUCGCUAGUAAUCGCAGAUCAGCAACGCUGCGGUGAAUACGUUCCCGGGGCUUGUACACACCGCCCGUCAAGUCAUGAAAGUUGGUAACACCCGAAGCCGGUGGCCUAACCGUUGUGGGGGAGCCGUCGAAGGUGGGACUGGUGAUUAGGACU
RNAcentral lists this ribosomal RNA (1447 nucleotides) under uncultured bacterium. RNAcentral describes it as "bacterial SSU rRNA". It matches the Rfam family "Bacterial small subunit ribosomal RNA". The record is from RNAcentral.